This 489-nucleotide ribosomal RNA is filed under the name uncultured bacterium. RNAcentral describes it as "partial 16S ribosomal RNA". It matches the Rfam family "Bacterial small subunit ribosomal RNA", at positions 899 to 1397 of the family's 1533-position model. The record is from RNAcentral.
ACUCAAAGGAAUAGACGGGGAGGCGCACAAGCAGUGGAGCGUGUGGUUUAAUUCGAUACAAAGCGAAAAACCUCACCAGGGUUUGACAUUCUUAUGCAAUCUCGGAGAAACUCGAGACCUCUCGCAAGAGACAUCUGAACAGAUGCUGCAUGGCUGUCGUAAGCUCGUGGCGUGAGCUGUCCCCUUAAGUGGGCAAACGAGCGAAACCCGCAUCAUAUGUUAAAUUUCUCAUAUGAAACAGCCCCUAUUUUUAGGGGAGGAAGGAGCGGAUGACGUCAAGUCAGCACGGCUCUUACACCCUGGGCUACACACACCCUACAAUGGCGAAAAACAACGAGUUGCAAGCUGGUAACAGCAAGCUAAUCUCUGAAAUUUCGCCUCAGUUCAGAUUGAGGGCUGCAAUUCGCCCUCAUGAAGUCGGAAUUGCUAGUAAUCGCGAAUCAGCAGGUCGCGGUGAAUACGUUCUCGCCUCUUGUACACACCGCCCGU